This 447-nucleotide ribosomal RNA is filed under the name Curculionidae sp. NZAC 03010214. RNAcentral's name for it is "eukaryotic LSU rRNA". Lineage: Eukaryota; Metazoa; Arthropoda; Insecta; Coleoptera; Curculionidae. The record is from RNAcentral.
UCGCGCGCUUUUCGCGCCCUCCGUUCGACGAACCCGCGACGAACGCGUGCACUUUUCUCCUGGUAGGACGUCGUGAUCCGUUGGGCGUCGGUCUACGGCCCGCGGUGGAGCUCGUUCGUACGUUUCGCGACGUACGGGCGGACCCGCGGUGUCCCGGCCGACUCGCUCGACGGUAACAGAAUGGUUGGAGGCCGCUCGUUUAGUAGCGUUCGGCUCGCGGCAAGCGCGCCAGAUGCGUCGGCGAUCGGACCUAGUGCCGAUUCCGACCUCCGGUGACUGUUGGCCGCGACGUUCUCGAACAGACCUUCUACAAAACCGAUCUGCGACGCUAUAGCUUUGGGUAAUUUCAGGACCCGUCUUGAAACACGGACCAAGGAGUCUAGCAUGUACGCGAGUCAUUGGGAACGAUUAAACCUAAAGGCGCAAUGAAAGUGAAGGUCCCCCUCG